GCUGAAUUGGUACAAUGAGUGCUGGUCUGCGGUGUGAGACCAGGGGUCUGGGACUGUUCAUUGUUGGAGGAAAGAUAUGAAGGUUCCUCUCCACUAGCUGUGCCUUGGCCAAAAUAACUGAAUAGGUGCUGAGUUCAAAUACGUACAGCUGCUAUCAAAUCUCAAGACAGAGGCCCCACUCGAACUUUAUUACCUUCCUGCCUUCAUCUAUCAUACUCUCGGGAGAAUAUCGGUCCAAGUCUAAGACUAGGUGUGCAAAUUCCAUUUCGUUCAAAUACUGUAGGUGUUCUAUGAGGUUACUCUAUAUUGAAGGCAAUCAGGAACUGUUCCCAAGUAACUGGAACGGGCAACGUGACCUGUUUGAGCUACCACCAGCUACCUGCCUCUCCUACGAGCAUGUAGGUGGCACAUACAACUUUCUGUUCAGGAACCAUUCCAAGAAUUGUGCAGACCUUCUCUGUCUCAGUUAACCAAUACUCAACUUCUUCAAAAGAUGAUGUCCCUACAAAGAUAUAUAGGUUUAGUCUUUUAUACCUUUUAAUGUAACUUGAGUCCAUCAUAGGUGGAACUGAGUUCCAUGAAAGAGGGAUUGAAUUGUGUUAGGGAGGGGUUGGGUGGCCCUGUGGCGGUACCUGGUUGUAUGGUGGGGGGUACCAAAUUGUACUGCGGCAGUGCUGGAUGAUAUGGUGGAGGAGCAAGGUUGUACCAAGGUGGCACCUGAUAUUCUCACUACAAGGGCAGCUCAAACUGUAGCAGCGGUGGAGGCUUAGACAACUCCCUCCACUCUUCCCGGGCCUGUUAGGCAGAGAUGAGUCUCUGCAAUAUCUCAAAGAAUCAAUCGACAUACUCUCAAAGUGACCCAUCCCGGGUUGCUCGGUUUAGUGAGAGUCUUUCUUUUCUCAUAUCCCUGUACCUGUAUUUCACAAGAAAUGGUUGAGCGACAUUUCAUAUUUAGUAUUUUUAAGUCUUUGGUAAGAAAUGAUUCUGAGUAACACGGCUUUGAUACCAACUGUAAAGACCCGAAACUCAAAAUAGAUAAAUUUAUAUUUUAAAUGCGAAAAUAAAUAAUAAUAUUAGGGUUUACAUUCCUUACACAAUAAAUUAAAAUACCCAAUAGGGUUACGAGAAUAUUCCUACUACAAUGGAUCGUAAAGAAAAACAAAUAAAUAAUUUAAAACAAUUAGAUAGAUGUCCUAGGGAUUAACCUCCACUAGCGCUUGAAGAGGUCCAGGAGGUAAACUACUCACAAUCUUCUUACUGAUUGGAUCUGNNNNNNNNNNNNNNNNNNNNNNNNNNNNNNGUGCAUACCAAUACCUCAUUUCAUAUUCACAUAUUAAUUAAACGAUAUUUAUGCAAAUAAUAUAAUUUUAUACCUUAAUAACCAAGAAAUGUACUCAGGACCUUUAUUUUGAAUCAGUCAAUCAGAUCAAGAAAUAAUGAUUAGGCACUCAAUAAAUGAGAAAAUAAUUAAAAGCAAUAAUUAAGGCACAUGGAGGAAUAAUAAUCAAUUUAGACAACAUAGGAAAAUGAAUAGGCAACAUAGACAAACUAGGACAAAUAUAACCUAACUGGUUCUAGCUCCACUAGUGACCUGUAACUAUUUUUAGGAUUUUUUUAAUUUUUUACAUAGCACAAUAUUAUUGAUUAUUAAGCCUCAAUUUACCGUAACAUGGAAUAGGGUGAGGGAUUCUUACCUGGAUCAAUAUUUUAAAAUGUCAUACUAUUUACUACGUCUCCUAACGGGUCCCGAAUUUUCUGAAUUUUUUCUGCAGAAAUUAAAAUACUCGUCAUGUACCUAAAAAAUACCCUCAAAAAUCGGUGUUGAAAACUCUUUCUGGCUAAUUUUAGAAUCCCGGCACGACACCACCACCAUGUUACGGCAUCGGCUCUGCCAUCCACGAUGGUAGUUCACCUCACUCUAGCCAGUUUUGGCUGGUUUUACAUGUAUCGUUACGAAAAAAUAUAUUACGAGGCCUCGGUUGGCCAGAAAAUCAAAAAAACUAAACCUACUGGCUGGGAAUAUAUAGGGGGGGGGGAGGGGGGGGAGAGGGGGAGGGUCUCUAGGUGUGGCGGCUUUACCGAUUCUCAUUUACGACUGGAGUUUUUUCUUCGGCUAAUCUGCACGGAAAAGGACGGGGAACACAAUGGUCAAAAAAUUGUGUGAAAUAGAAAAUAAGAAGGGGGUCAUCGGAGAGGGUUUAGGGUUUUAGCUGCGACGGCUCCAUCAGGUUUUGCAUGUGAUUUUCACCUCACCCACUAUCCCUUUUACUCUGAUAUGACUAUAGGGAGGCUCAGAAUUGAAUUCUAAGUGAGGAAAAUUUUUUUUACCUUUUUUAACUGUCGACGGUGGCUCCGAUGCGGCGGCAGCCGGAGAUUGGCCUCUUUCUCCAAUGUAUGGUUCUUCUUCUCCGACAAGGGUUGAGCUGCUAGGGUUAAGUUCUCCUGCAAUGCAAUGUUUGAAUACCUAUCCCGUGUCCAUCUACACCGUCCGUUUGUGGACACAUAGAGCGGGAGGACUAUUCGAUGAUUUUUCGUUAGGUUUAUUGCGUAGAUGAAUCUAGACCGUCCAUCGUGAUCAAUUUUGUUCUUCCGAUAUCAUUUAAAGAGGGAAUGUAUUUGAAUCGAUCGCAUGCACGGAAUGCGAUCUGGGCCAUCGGAUCGUCUAAGCAGGGGGAUUGCCCACGUGGCCUCUCGCAUUGAGCCGAUGUCAGCCUGCUUGUCACGUAGCGUGCUCUGAUUCGUUCGGAUUGCUGAUUGGGCUAUCCCACGUGGAUAAACUUUUUUUUUUAAUGAUUUAGCCCCAUGUUUUUAAAUUUUCUUUCAAAAACAUCCAUUAAAUUCAAAUUUUCGCCUUUUUAAAAAAAUUAUUUUUAAUUUUGUCUCUAAUCUAUUUUUUUCUCAAAAUUUAACAAAAAUUAGAUUGAAAUAAAAUUAUAUUAAUUAUUUAUAUAAUUUUUAUAAAUAAAAAAGAUUAUUUCAGACCGAUUUUCAGAAUCGAGCAUUAUAAAUUUAUUUUCUUUAUUGACUAAAAUAAAACUAGAAGCUUUUUGAAAACACCAUCAAGGAGACAAUAACAUACCAACCAUAUACUAUGAUUUUAAGGAAUCUAAAUGCUUUUUGAAAAUAAAAUUGAAUAAACGCAUAAUUAAUUAUUUCAUUUUCUUUUGCUAAUUAGUUCUAAUUAAAAUCAAUGACUUAAAAAUAUUUAAUAAUACAAAAAUUUCUUAAAGCCUAUAACCGAUGUCUAUGGAAUUAAUCUAAACAUUUCUCAUUAAUGGUUUGAGCAAGAUAUUUAUUGUUAAUAUUAAUUCUACAUAUUUAUUAAACCGAAAAAAAAUUGAAACUUCUUUUACUUCUUAUACUUUCCUAGAAAAAACGACCUAAUUAUGUGUAUAAAAGAGGACGAAGUUACGAGGAUUAACAUAUAGAAAACAUAUAUAUUCUCCUUUGUUUUUUCUUUCUAAAUAAUCUUUUUAUUCGGAACGUUAAAAAGUGAUGAUGUGGGAUUUGAUUCUUGUUUUAGUAACUUUGAUAUGGAUUACUCAUAGUCAAUAUAUACCGGAGUUUAAUGUUAUCGUAGCACAAGAUGGAACAGGAAACUUUACAAAAAUUAGCGAUGCAAUCUUAUCUGCUCCUAGUAAUUGUUCAGAGCGAUACUAUAUUAAAGUGAAGAAAGGAAAUUACGCAGAGACUGUUAUCGUCGGAAAAAAGAAGACUAAUAUAGUUUUAGUCGGAGAUGGAAUGGAUAAUACAAUAAUUUCUGGAAGCAAAAGCACGGAAUUGGGUAUAUCGACUUUACAUACUGCUACAGUAGGUAUGGUAUCUAUAUAAUGUUAAUAUUGAUUUAUAGAUGUAUUCGGCAUAAUCAUCUCAAUAUAUGUUCUACGUACAUACACACACACACACACACACACAGUAUUUGCAAAACAAAGAUGUUGUUACGUAAUUUACAAGCAUAAUUUUCAUUUUAAUUAAGAUAGAAACAAAGAUGAUGUUUGUCCUCUUUCAAUAUAUGAUUCAGGAAUUAAGGGCAGUGGCUUCAUUGCAAUUAAUAUAACAUUCGAGAACACGGCUGGUCCAAACAAACACCAAGCGGUAGCCCUACAAAGUGAAGUAGAUUCUAUAUUCUACAAGUGUAAAUUUCUUGGAUAUCAAGACACACUUUACGUCAGAAAGGGCAAACAAUUUUACAGAGAAUGUGAUAUUUAUGGUACAGUGGAUAUUAUAUUUGGAAAUGCAGCCGCAGUGUUACAAAAUUGCAAUAUCUACGCUCGCCUUCCACGUGAAGAACAAAGUAAUACAAUAACAGCACAGGGAAGACUUGCAGUCGAUGAGGAUGGAGGGAUAAUCAUUCACAACUGCACUAUAAAGGCAUCUCAAGAACUCAUAAAAAGCAAGAGAUCAGUUAAGACAUUCUUAGGACGCCCAUGGAAGAAUUUCUCACGAACGGUAAUAAUGCAGAGUUUCAUUGACGAUAUCGUUGAAUCUGAGGGAUGGCUAGAUUGGCCAGGUGUACGAACAGAUACUAUCUACUAUGCCGAAUAUGCUAAUAAAGGGGCAGGAGCUAUAACUACAGGAAGAGUAAAGUGGACUGGAUAUCGAACACUAAAUAGGUCAGAAGCUUCUGAAUUUACAGUAAGAAACUUCAUUUCUGGGGACAAAUGGAUACCAUCAUCAGGAAUACCAUUCUCUCCUGAUUUGAUAUAACUUAAUUUAUUUAAACAAUGAUUAACUAUUUCAAAUAAUUCAUUAGUUAAUUUACAGAAAGAUGUAUUCUUAUACUUCUUUAUAUUGCAUUAGUAAUGGAUAUGUAUUUAUUUUUAAGUGGCUUACUAAUAUUUAUAUACCAAAAAUACCUAAGAAAGAAAUAAACAAACAAUUAACAUAAAUAACAAAUAAUAAUUAGUUAAAAUUAAGAACGAUAAAGCUAUUGCAACAGUGUGAUAUGGAGCUACUCACAAUUUUAUUGAUUUUAAAAUUCAAAAUUAUAUUACAUUAUAUCAUGAGCUCAUAAGAAUAAUUGAAGUACAAACUUAAUGUAAACUUAUAUCAAAUCAAGAAAGCAUGGAAUUCCCAUUGAUGAUAUCCAUUUCUCCCCUGAUAUGAAAUUUCUUACUGUAAAUUUUUCUGCUUCAGUACGAUUUAUUAUAUGAUAUCCACCCCAUUUAACUCUAUUUGUAGUUAUAGCUCCUGGUCCUCUAUUAUCAUAUUCAGCGUAAUAUAUGGUGUCCCAGACUUGCAUGCCACUCUAGCCAACCUUUUGGAUCAAUCACAUCAUCAAUAAAACUCUGCAUUAUGACUGUUCUUGAAAAGUUUUUCCAAGGUCGUCCCAAGAAUACCUUGGUUAACUUCUGGUUUUGAUGAAGGUUUUCAGCUUUUGUUAUAGUACAGUUAUGGAUUACUAUACCUCCAGUGUUGUUCUUAUCUUUUCUUCCUUGCGCUGUUAUUGUAUCAUAUUGACCUAAAAGUGGACGACGUACGUAGAUAAAACUAUUUUGUAUAACUGCAGCUGCAAAUCCAAAGAUGAAGUCUAUAGUGCCAUAUAUUUCGCACUCUCUGUAAAAUUGUACUCCUUCAUGAGCCAAAAGUGUAUCUUGAUAUCCAACAAAUUUACAUCUAUAGAAGAUAGAGUCCACGACACUUAACAAUGCUAUUGCUUGAUUUGCUGCCGGACCGGCUGUAUUUUCGAACGUUAUAUUAAUUGCAAUAAAGCCAGCUCCAUAAAUUCCUACAUAAACAUGUGUGUAUAUGUAUAUAUAUAUAAAGCACAAGUUAAUGCUUAAUAAUUAAUACAUCAAAAAAGAGAUUAUCCAAAUUUUAUUCAUAUACCAUACCCACUGUAGCUGUGUCCAUAGUUGCGAGGCCCAUUUUCGUGCUCUUAUUUCCCGAUAUUAUCGUCUUAUCUAUUCCAUCUCCUAUUAAAGUUAUGUUUGAUUUCUUCUGUCGUAUAAUAAUAUUCUCGAGAUACCGACCUUCUUUUAUUUUGAUAUUGUAGCGUUCAAUAUUCGAGUCCGGAGCAGCUAAGAUUGCAUCGCUAAUUUUUGUAUACUUGCCCGUUCCAUCUUGUGCUACGACAACAUCGAUGUUCAGCUUAAGUUGACCACGAACACUACCGGAUAAUAAUCCAGUAAUUACUACGGCAACGAGUAAAUUCCACAUGGUAAUAUUAGGGUUUCCUCUUUGAUUAUAUCUUUUAUCAUACAGUGUAUGCAUAAGAAAAUGACUGUAGAUAUAUAUAAGCACACGCCAUGUAUAGAUCAAGAGCAUAGAAAACCUACAGGAUCAUUUAUCUGCAAUGCCUCAGCUCAAAGAUUUUAAGUCUUAUUAUAUAUAUAUAGAUACACACACACAUAUGUGUGUGUGUGUAUAGCUUAUCCUUAUAAUUUUUAUUUCACGUUAUCCUCACAAAUUAUUUAUAUCCAUAUAAGUUGAUAUUCUAUAACGUCUGUAUUCAACUUCUGUUCAUGUAUCGUUACUGUUAUUAUUCAAACAAAAUUUUUUGUUUCAAGAAAUAUUUUAGUUUAUAAUUAAAUAUAUAGAAAUAAAAAUAUUCUAGCGAUUAUCUAAUUUUAUAUUACUUAUGAUAUAAAAUCUGAUAAUUAAUCCAAAUCUUAUUUAAUUCCCUGCGUAUAAUUGAUUUUGUAUAAUUAUUUACCUUAACGAAAUGGGCUUUUUUUUAUGGGCCCAAAUAUAAAUUAUAUCAUUUUUAAAAUCUUUUUGUGCAAAGAAUAAUAUCAAAAAUUUUCCAAAUUUGGUAAUUUUGGUAUACAAUAUUAUUUUCGUAUUAAUUUUAAAUUUAGUAUGUUCUAAUACCAAAUCCCAAUUGAUUUAAAAGAAGAAUUACUCAAAAUAAAAUAUUCAAUAAAUAUUUAUAAUAUUUUAAUAUCUUAAUUUUGGUAACAUUUAUAUAAAUAUCAAAUGUGCCCAAAUUUUCAACAAAUUCGAACCUGGCAAUGUUACUACUUACCACCCAUAUGAGAUUCGUAUCAAAAAUGACAUAUGCAUAUGUAUAAUAUAUAUAUGUAUUUUAACUAUUUUUUGUAAUAUUCAGUUCCAAAAUUUGAUCGAGAAUUAAUUUUAAUUUUAAAAUUAAUAUAUAAAAAUAUAAAUUUUAAUUUUAUAAAUUUUUAUUUAAUAUAAAAUUAAGAAAAAAAUAGAUAGAGAAUAAAAUUGAAAACAAUUUAAAAAAAAUGCUAAAAAUUUAGUUUCGAAUGUAUUUUUAAAAGAAAAAUAAAAAAUUAGAGGUCAAAAUACAAUUUAGAAAAAAUGUGUCACGUAUGACCGCUCAAUCAGUAAUUCCGACGAACCGGAGCACACCGCGUGACAGGGCACGCUGAUUCGGUGCCAUGCAGGAGGUCACGCUGGCAAUCUGCAUGUCCGCGAUUGGAUGGUCCGGAUGUAUUCCCGCGCGUGUGGACAGUCCGGAUUUGUUCCCUCCUCAGGCACAAUCAGACGAUCACGAUUAAACGCGAUGAACGGUCCAGAUUCGUUUUUUUUUUAAAUGCAAUUAUACGAUCCAUAUCAAACGCGAUAAAUGACCCAGAUUUAAGAGAGAAUUGUAUAAAUAUCUCAUUUUACACCGAACUCUAACUCUAGCCGUCAACCUCCCGCUGGAGAAGAAGAAGCAGACACCAAUGAAAGGAGUCGAUCGUCGCCUGCCGUCAAGUCGAAGCCACCUCCGAUAGCCAAAAAAGAUAAAAAUUCUCUCAUUCCCUCAUAAUUUGAUUUUGAACACUCCUAUGGCCAAAUUGAAGCAAAAGAACUGGCGAAUGAGCAGAAAAUCGCGAGUAAAGUCUAGCACCGCAGCCACAUAAAAAAUCAAAAAUUGCCUCCGAUGAGCCCCUUCCUGAUUUCUGUUUCAUGCAAUUUUUUCACCAUUGUAUUCACCAUUCUAUUUUCUAUAGAUUAACUGAAGAAAAAUGGCCAACCGCGAAUGUAAGUUGGCAGAGCCGCCGCACCAGAAAAUUUUAUCGCCAAUAAUUUUUUAUUUUUCGACUUUUUUCGGCCAACCGAGAUCCUUUAACUUGUUUACUCGCAUAGAUGAGUAUAAACCAGCUAAAAUAUGCCAAAAUUGACCGAAAACAGCCAGUCCAAGGCAAACCACCCCCGUGGUGGCAGUGUCGCCGUGCUAGAAUUCUAAAAUUGACCGAAAAAGAUUUUAACACCGAUUUUAGAUUUUUUGAGAUAUUUCUAGGUACGUGAAGUGUGUUUUAAUCUCCACAGAAAAAUUUAGGAAACCUAUGGACCAUCAGUAGUGCAGUAAAAAAUUCAGUAUUUCGGACACCGAUUCGGGUAAAAAUCUCUCACCUUAUUCCCUAUUAUGGAAUUGAAAUUCAAUUAUAAAUAAUACGGUAUUUUGUGUAAUUUAAAAUUUUUCAAUAAUUAAUUACAUGUUACUAAUGAAGGCAGAACCGGUUAUUUAUUACUAUUUGUCAUGUUUUAACGGAUUGUUUGAUUUUACAGUUUUAAAAACAUGAUAAUACACUGAAAUUGGUAAAAUGAUUCAGUUGUGUUCCUUAAUGCAUAUAUUACUUGUCUUGCGUGAUUUACAGUUAAAUUGUGAAACUGAAAAUUAAAUGUAACGACCUUGAAAAUCUAAAAAGAAAUAUAUAAUAGUUUUAGUGCAAAAGCGAAAUAAAAUGUUAAGAUUUACAUCCCUUACACAAUAACUUAAAGUACUAAACAAACAUUAUGGAACGAAUUCUCUGAAAAAAAAUACGAAAAAUACGAAAAGUAAUGAAAAAUAGAAAGUAUCUAACAUCUACUCGCAAUCUUCCUACGGAUCGGACUCUGGAACCAGGUCAUCUUGAUCUGAAAUGGUUAAAUAAGGGAUGAUCUAUAUUAGCCCAGUAAGGAUAUCACACUAUAUCACCAGCACAGAAGUAAAGUUUAGUAGAAAAUCAAAACAACUAAUAGAGUACUAAAUUUAGCAAAUUCGUUUAUCAAUCAUAAAAUCAUUUACCGUUCACUUACCAUUGUGGAAUUUAUGAAAACAACCUAUAGAUGCAAUAAUAUUAUAAAGAUCAUAACUACAUGCACAAUCAGCAACAUAUAAUAUAUCAUAAAUUUAUAUUCAUUAACAAUAAACUAAAUCAUAACCGGUUCUCGUUUUACCAGUCUACUAGUAUUCAUAGGGGUUCAUAGGGGUGUCCCCAGUACACGUGAACCCUUUUCCUUAACAAUCUCAAUUACAGGGUCGUCCCCAUACCUCGUCUGGUAUGAGCCCCAAGACAUUAAACCUCAAUACCCCGUCCGGUAUGAGUGUGAAGCGGACUGUCCCCAUACUUUGUCCGAUAUGAACGUCAAAUUACCAAGUCUCCAUACCCUAUCUGGUAUGAGACAACGUUCACGGUAGGGUUCCCUAUAAACUCAGUCCGUCCACCAUCUCUCAGGAUAUCUAGUGAAGUUAUCAUCCUAUAUGUUUAUUUGAUCACACCCCUUUCUUGUUUUUCCUUAGUCUCCGUUACCAAAUCAAACAUAAUCACAUAAACAAAUAAACAUGCAUCCGGUAAUACAAUCAUGUCUUAAAUUCUAAAAUCAAACAGUUGUCAGAUAAAACAGUAAUACACGCAUUUAAACUACAAAAUAGAUAAAUCAGAUAUCAUCAUACUUCUAGAUUGUAAAAUAAAUCAACAGAGAAAAUGUCUGGUUCGAGCUUCAUUAGCAAUCCGUAAUUAAUUAUGCACAUCUAUUUAAUUUGUACAAAAUACCGUAUUAUUAUUUAUUCAAACUUCAAAUCUAUGAUAGGAAAUAGGGUAAAGGGUCAUUACUUGAUUUGACACCAAAAGGCUAAAUAGUUUAUUACGCUUACGGGCAGUCCCUGGACUCCCUGAAUUUUUCACCGGGAACUGAAACGUGCUUAUGAUACCUACAAAUGUCCCAAAUAAACCUAAAAAUCAGUCCCAGGGUCUACUCGGCCAAUUUCAGAAAUCCGGAACGGCGGCUCUGCCAUGCUCCGGCUACGGUCUGCCUCAUGUCGGCCGUUUUUAGCCGAAUUCGGUCGAUUUUAUAUCGAUUCCUACGAGCACACACGCUAAAAGGUCUCGGUGGACUGAAAAAAUACGAAAAACCGAAACUCACCAAUUGUGGGGCUUUCCGGUGCGGCGGCUCCUCCGUCUCAAGUUGCAAUUGGGUGUUUCGCUUUGGUCAAUCUGUAGAGAAGAAAACGGUGAUCACAACAGAGAAAAAAUUACAUGAAAUGGAAAUCGGGAAGGGCCUCAUCGAAGGUAGUUUGUAAAACUUCUCGCGGGAGCGCCGUUGGGCUUCGACGAUAUUUUCCGGCCAAUUGGCCAGUUCUUUCACUCCAAUUUGGCUGUGAGUGGGUUUAAAAUUGGAUUUCGUGCAAAAAUGGCGAAUUUUUACCUUUUUUAGCAGUCGGAAAUGAUUCCGGUGCGGUGACGGGUGGCGGCGGUCGGCUCUCCGGCAACUGGGUUGUCUUCUCCGAUGAGGGGUUCUAGCGACUUGAUCUGGGUCGUCCAUCACUUUUGAUUUGGACCGUUCAAUCGCGAUUAAAUAGGUAGUGAAUCUAGACCGUUCAUCGCGAUUCAAUAUGGGCUGUCAGUGCGCAAUUCACUCUGGGUCAUCCGUGUGCACGGGAACGGACCUCAGCUGUUGGAUCGCGCGUACGCGGAUCGGCCGCAAGGCCUCCCACGUCAGCGCCUCUGCCACUUGGUACAUCUUGGUUGGUCGGGACUGCUGACCGGACGUCUAACGUGACACAAUUUUUUUAAAUUGCAUUUUGACCUCCGAUUUUUAAUUUUUUUUUCAAAAAACACCCACAGAACCCAAAUCUUCACCCAUUUUCUCCAAAAUUAUUUUCAAUUUAAUCCUUUACCAAUUUAGUCAAUUUUUUAUUAAAUUAAAAUAAAACAAAAUAUAAAUUAAAUAAUUAAAAAUUAUAUUUAUUAAUAAAAAAUAAAAUACAAAAAAAAAUUAUGUAGGUGUUACAUUAAAUGUAAACGGGAAUUCUUUGAUUAGUUGAAUGAAUGAAUGAUAGACUUACUGGAUAUCAUGUGAGAUGGUGAACGGACUGGGUACAUAGGAAACCCUACUGUGAACGUCGUCUCAUACCGGACGGGAUAUCGAGAAUUGGUAUUUUGGCGCUCAUAUCAGAUGGGAUAAGGGGACGACCCAUUUCACCCUCAUACCAGACGGGGUAUUGAAAGAUAGUAUUUUUAGCGCUCAUAUCGAACAGAGUAUGAGGACAGGCAGUUAAUUGAAAAUAUUGAAUAAUGGUUCAUGCCUAGUUGGGACAUUCCUAUGAACCCCUAUGGAUACCAGUAAGCAAAUAAAAAUGAAAAGUUGUUGUUCUGCCUAAUUGAAUAUGAGAUUAUGAUGUUGUUGAAUUAUUAUUCCUAUAGGUCAGUUUUGAAAAUCUCACUACGUUAAGUAUGCAAUAAAUGAUUUUAUUUUUUAUAAAUGAAUUUACUUAAAUUAAGAGCUCCAUUAGUUAUUUUUAUUAUUUUUACCAACGUUCAUUUCUAUAUCGGUGAGUUGUGUAAUAUUUUUAUUAUGGUAGUGUAAUUCACCCUUUCAUUAACCAUUUCAUAUCAAGAGAAUCAAGAUCCAGAUCUCCAUCAACAAACGAGUUGUAAAUACUUUACCACCCGAACUCCCUUCAAAUACUAGUGAAGAUUGUCCUAGAUAGCUAAUAAUUUACUUUGCAUUAUUUCUUAAUUUUUCACUUAUUUUUUUUUUAAUAGUCAUUAUCGUACUUUUAUUAGGUAUUCUAAAUUAUUGUAUAAACAAUGUAAACUGUAACUUUAUUAUUUCACUUACGCAUUCAAUUUAUAAUUUAUUUCUUUUCAAAUUUCAAACUACUACAUUUUUAGCAUAAUCGUUUUUGAUAUAUUAUUAUCUAAUUCUUAAUUUAUUUAUUAUGUUGUAACCAAAUCUCAAAAGUUUAUUUUUAAGUUGCUUUUAUAUUAAUUACACAAAAGAUAAAAGAUUUUGUUAUUUUUAUAAUAAAAAAAAAUUCCACAAAAAUUACGCCUUGAAACGAUUUUGUAAGUUAAGAAAAUUGAAUUGAAAUGAAAAAGAAAAUGAAGACCAAAUUGUAGCGCAAUAUAUAUAUAUAUAUAUAUAUGACAUUUCAAAUAAAAUUUUAUAUUUUAAUUUAAUAAUAAUAAUAAUAAUAAAUUUUAAUUAAUAUGAACAUUAAUUACUAAAUGAAUUAAAUUAUAAUUUUUCAGCCUCAGGUUCUAACUCAAAAUAUAUUGUACCCAGAAUUGAAGUCUAUCAGGAAGAAACAAACAAAAAUUACUGUGGUAUAAGCAAGUGAUUUUUUCACUUAAUAAACAGAAAUGACAUCUAGCAAAUUCAAAAGCAAAAAAGGCAAGAUUAUAGCAUCAUAGAAGGCUGCUACUUACCCUGACUAGUGAGAGAAUUUUUGUCGGAAGCUUCUUCUUAUUCGCUAAAAUUUUAUCAGAAGCUUCUUAACAGUUUAUACCAGAGUUGCCUUGACACAAAUGUUCAUGGCGAACUGUUGUAUUCAAGCAUGUGAUAGCUUAUCCAGGCUCAUAGGUAAUUUUUCAAAUUUACCAAACCAUCUACAACUACAGUUGUCAGUUAGCUAUGAUGAGACAGAGCAAUCCAACUUAUAAAGUAAGCAAGAUCUAAUCAUAGAAAUGGGGAGGCAAUCCUGGUCCAGCUUGAUCCUCUAAAGCAGCCUACUACAAUGUAGCCAAAUUAUAGAUGUUGCUGCAAUUUGAAGGAUGUUGAGAGUUGGAAAAUGAAUUACCACUUUUGCUUUGCAAAGAGAGUGAGACUCGAUGCGUAAGUUCCAAAAGCUCCAUGCAGCCCUCAACAGUUUCCAUUUAACUGUCAUAACACGAAAUUAGUUGUUAACAAAUUCCUAGUCAGAACUUAGGAGUACAUUAGUACUGUUGAAAUAAAUAAACUAUAAUCUGCUAUCUUGGGUUUUUUAUGGACUAAAGAAGGUUGUUUUUAAUUGGGGGAAUUAAGUCUUUAAUUAGUAAGUCUUUAAGUUGUUUUAAGCAUCUCAUUAUCGGCUAUAUAAGCUGAUGCCUUCUGAUUGCAAUUCUUUCAAUCAAAUAUGUAACCCACUUCUCUAUGCAUAUUCUCUCUCUGGUCUCCAACAUUCUUCUAUGCUUUUUCUCCAUCUCCUUCUAUUUCUUCUUCUACUUUCCAGGUUCAUAUUUGAGGAACCUAGCAUUCCUCAGUGAAACAUAAAUUGCCUGAUUAACUUGGAGAUAAAUGAUCAUCAUAGAAAAUAACCAGAAAGGUUUUAAGAUCAAUAAGAUUAAGCAGACAAGAAGUAUAUGGCAGCAUUAUAAAUAGAUAGGGAUACCCUGCAUAAUGAAUUCUUAAAUGGCCAAGAGAAUAUUUCAAAGCAAAGGAAGAAAAGGGGCAGAAAAAUUGCAUACCAACAACUGCAGCACAUGGGAACAUGUCCAGAAUGUCACCCAGCUUGAACUGACUUCAUCAAGAAUCUAAGGAAUUUCUUGAAACUCCAAAAUUCAGAAACUUCAGCGCUUAAAGACUUUGGCUUUUGUUUUUUUGAAAUCCUCCGGACGAGCCAAAUCUGAAGAAGACAAGCUCAUCUCCUCUGAAAGUUUCAUAGCCAGUUCCAGCUUUCCUGCCCUCUUCAAGUUACUGAUUAAUGAUCUAUAGAUAUAUAUUGAUGGACGGAUCUUUCUUUGUUUCAUCUCACAAAAUAAUCUUACUGAUUCAUUUAUGUUCCCAGAUCUGCCGAAGCUAUCAAUCAGUGCUGUAUAGGUGAGCAAAUCAGGUUCAAAUCCACUCUCGGUCAUUUCCUUGAAAUAUACAAGGCACAAAUCUAAUCUCCCAAUCUUUCUCAAGCUGUUUAUUAGAGUAUUGUAAGAAAUGAUAUCUGGAAAAAUACAAGCUUCUUUCAUAGAUGUGAAUAAUUCAAGCAUUUCACUCGUACGACCAAUCCGACCGAGCAUAUCUAAAAUAGUAUUGUAAGUUAUCAAAUCAGGCUUACACUUGAAGCCUUUAAUAUUAUCAAAUAUCAGAAGAGCCUUGUCUACCUGCCCACAUUCAGAAAAGGCAGAGAUGAUUCUGUUUACAAUUAUCGUGCUUGACGGGAAGGCCAACUCUGAUACUUCCUUGACAAAUCGAAGUAAGUGAGUAUCAUUGUCUGUCCUUAUAAAAGCCCUAGCAAGGUAAAGAUAAGAAGUUGAACUCAAUGGUUUACCAGACAACAGUAAAUGUUUGAAGAUCUGAGAUGAAAGUUCAGUAUCAUUUUUUUCACCCGCUGCUUUCAAAAGGAUGUUAUUUGCUUCAGGGAGAAAAAUAUUUCUCUCUUGCAGAGCUUGCACUAAAUUAGCUGCAGUAGAAAGUUUUCCAGCUCCGCAAAGCUUUCUUAUGUGAACAGUAUAGACUUCUUCACUAAACUUUGAAGCACUUCUAUCCAAUGAGAGAAUAUGAUCUGAUAAUCCAUCAGGCACUUCCCCCAAGUCCGAAGAGGGCCUUGUUGUGAAUGAUUGAUAACUGCCAAUAGCUUUACUUAAAAUUGCUAUGGAUGGCCAGAUACCAAUUGGGAUGGUUGUGGUGCAUUUCUGUUAAAAGUAGAAUCAUUGAGCACAACAUUUAAAAAAAAAAAUGUUAGAAAAACAAACAAGUGAAGUAUCAAUUAGGAAAAAGACACAUCAGACAAAGUUCCAAAUCAAGCUUUACUUCAUUGAGCUGGAGUUCCCAGAGAUAUUAGAACCUCUAUCCACUUACUAAAUUAAAAAUGACAAGAAGACAACUCAAUGAACAGCUAAAGGUUAACUGGCAUAAAACACUGACAUCAUCCCAUUCCACAACUAGGUAAUUGGCUAAUGCCAUAAGGAGCAUGCAUUUAUUAAAAAGAAUCAGAAUACCUCAUAAAUUAUAUGUCAACCCCUUGAACUCUUUCACCAAAGCUUAAUUAGGCUAGAGCAAAAAUUUCGGUCUCAAAAAAAAAGGCCUAAGAUCUACUAUAGUCCGACUAGACCUACCAAAUUAUUCAGCUCGCUAGGCAAUUCAGGGUAGUUGUUGCUAAGUUGGAAUGCUAGUUGGUCAUCUAAUGUUGGUUAGUCACAUUUUAUUUUUCAUCACAUUUUUUUAAUUUCAAAAAGAAUGUGAUGAAAAAUAAUCUAAAAUAUCCCAUUGGCAAUUCAAGAGAAGCUUUCCAAUAAAAAAUGAAAGUGGAACAUAUCAAGGAAAAUUUCCAUCUUGUGAUGCAAAUGCUAAAAGCUAAAUUAUUCCUCAUAGAAUCUUAGUAAGUUUUCAAAACUAUCUAUCUCAUAGACGAUCUUAGAGAUCUGUACUCCGUUCAUUAUGAAGAUCAUUUACAUUUUUCUUUGUCUACGUAAAUAUCAAUAAGUUCUAAAUCACUUCCUUUUCUCUUUUUAGCUCUAUUAGACAUUAUUUGUCACUUAGAUUGCUUGUGCUAUCCAUGACACUCUUCAAGUGUUUACAUUUUUCAUAACUACCAGAAUAGUUAAUAAUUCCUUACCAAUUAAUUCAAAUUCUACCAAAAAAUCAAUCCAUUCAAAGGACAAGAAAAAAGAAAAUUCAGUCAACCCAUAGAAGUAGUUCCAACACGAAUCACAUAAAACCAAAUGUGAUAAGAUAAGCUCAGCAUAUGGACCAAAUAUCCUACUAAUAAUCCCUCAAGAAAAUUCUCAAUGUCUCACUAAAAUCUCACAGCAAAAAAGAAAAAUUCCAGCUUUACUUUGAUACUGCUAACUUAUAUAACAUGGAUAACCUCCAGUAUCUAUUGCCGAAGAACAAUUUGUAUAUAUGCAGAUUGCAUUAUAACUGGAAACAGAACUACAAGGAAUUACCGGUGGCAACAAGCCUGUUCUUGUUUUGCAACGGGAAAUGUGCUUGAAGCACGAAGCAACAGGUAUCAUGCCCGUCUACUCCAGUGUUAAAAUGACAAAGCAUACACAUUUAUUAAGAUUUCCGGCAAGGUGGUAUUCUAAUCUGAGCGCCAUAGACCUGUAACCUGUUCUGUUAUCAGUACAUAUAAACACAAUCAUAAAACCCAGCCAACUAAACCAAAAAAAAAAGGACUAUAUCAUGAAACCUCAACAAUUAAGAAUGAUAUUUGAAAAUGCCCCAAACCAUACAAAUAAUCAAGGCAGCCAAUAUUACUAAGAUGAACUUUUAUAUAUCUCAAGAACAACUAAAUCUGCUAGUUUCAGAUUAGUAUAUGAACACAUACAAACAGCCUUCAACAAACAAAUCAAUUAAGAAAAGUAAAAAGAUAAUAUCAGGAAAGAAAUAAAAGCUUUUGUUGAUAAUAAGUUAUUAUCAGUUAAAAUAACAUCAUUUAAUCCUCCAAUGAUAUAAUAUUGCAAUUGCUAAAUCACAAUAUAAGCAUAUAUACACGAGGCAAAAGGCAAUACCUAAUAAUACUUAAAACUCAAUGCAUUUCAAAUAACAAUUUGCAGCCAGUAUAUAACACCGAGAAAAUUAAAUGGGUCUCCCCAGCUUUAUCCGAACUGUCAUUUUAACAAACAGUUAGCGUGCAAAGAGCUUCCAUACGAGUUAAAUCAUUUGCAGACCAGUAAAUUCACAGAACCAAGCAUGAUCUAGAGUACAUACUACAGAUAUUUCGAAGGGAGAAAAAGCAAGAAAUAACAAAGAAAUCCCAUGUAACAUCCACCGUUUGUACAGAGAGAUUUAAGCAAGGAUACCAAAAAUCAGUUCAUGAGAAAGUAAAUAUUCAUGUCUGUAUCCAUCGUUACCAGAAUGUUUCCAUUCCUGACUCAGCACCAUCACCGUGGCUUGAAAUCGAUGCCUUGCUGCGAAUUUUUUUUGGCUAUUAUGACAUCUGCGCGCGCUUGACCGGGUCCGUGGUUGCUGUAUAGAAGGAGACACGACGACUUGCGACUGGUGGUCGAUCACGGCGAGCAAAGGCACGAAUGGAUUGAGAAAUUUCUCAGUGGGGUUUGAACGAAAUGAAAUUUGAGCGUCAAAGUGCCGAUUAAUUGUCAAGAAUUAAUCUUUUUGAAAAGAUUUCGAACAGUUCGUAGUUGGAUUAAAUAAAUUAACAUAUUUUAUAAUAAAUUAUUAAAUGAAAUAAAUUUGAUUUUGAUUCAAAUGGGUUUUGCUUUUGUUUUACUUUGUGUUGACGUUAUCAUUUAUAUUAAUCAAAUAAUAAUUUUAUAUAAUAAUUAAUUAAUGUUGUAUAAUUAUUUGAUUAUUAAUUAAGUACUAAAAUAUUAUAAAGGUAAUGCAAACCAUGGUAAACAAAAAUCACCUCUGUAACUCUUGUAUAAAGAAUCAUAUGUAUAAUUAAUUUGGUAAGGUUGUAAACGGUACAACCAUAAGAACAAUACACCAUCAAAGAUUAAAUUUCACGACCCUAUUACCGGUCAAUACUAUUUCACUUAAUUUUUAUUUCAUAAUCACAUAUUUCUCCGGUUAAGAUAGUCAAUUCAUUAUAUCAUCGACUACUAAAUUAUAAAUAAAUAGGAUAUAAUAGUCUCGUAUGACUUACAUGAUUGAUUCUUCUAGUUGCAGAUCAAUCAAAUGAAACCCUCGAUAAUCAAUCUGUACAAAAUCGUGCAGCCUAAUUACAAGGCAAAACAAUAUAACAUGUGACAGUUGGAUGAAUGUCAUAACUUCAUCAUUCAGAUAAUUGCUCAGAUUCAUCAGAACCAUCAGAUGUCACCUCUGAGCCCUCUUCUUCUUCUUCUUCUUCAUCAAUCUCCACGGCUCUACUGGAAGUCAUUCUGGAUAAUGCUGCCGUUUUGCUUGCCCUUUGAGAGCGAGUCAUUGCAAUGCCAGGAGUAGUGGCAGCUGCAAAUUGAACAGUGGCUGGCGAGUCUUCUUCAUCGGAGGAUGUUUCUUCAUGCUUCAUGGGUCUCCUUGAGCGAGUUUGUCUUGUGGAGCGCGCAGCUGGUGUUUCUGGCACUGCUGGUGGUGUGCUUUCAACAUCCAAUUUGAAGUCUACACCUAACCUCCCUGUGAAAAAAGCAUAGAUAGAUGAAUAAUAUAUUUUAUUAAUGUUUCUUGAAAGGUAAAUAUAAUAUACUAAUAGAAACAAGUUUUUAGAAAGCAGACAUAAAAUCUUGGAGCAGAAACAUUACAAGAAAACAAACCAAAAAAGCUGCUGAUACAAAAAUUAGCAAGGAGGUCCCACAGCUUCUCAAAAAGACACUUCGAUUAUCUCACUUUACAUUUGAUUAACAUGGUCACUUAAAAGAAGAAAGUUGGUAAUAGAAGCAAAGAAAUUAUGAGCAGCUUGAACACUCUCACAACAUUCAAGCAAAAUGUAGCAAAAAAAUAUCAAGCGAGCUUUCUUCUAACAACCAAGUAGUACUGCAAAACCAAGAGCAUCAAAAAAAUCGACUACUGCAAAAACAAAACUUGAAGGUCUUCACAAGAAUUGCUUAGCAGCAAGGACAAAAAACAGCCCCUGCACAAAGAAAAAUCAUGAAUAACAGAAACUACAAAAGAAAACUCCCACCAAUUCUGCCGAAAACAGUAUUUAAAAGACAAAUUCAUUGUAUUACUAAUAUAUAAGCUUCUUAUUUUCGGAACACAUUAUUUAUCUUCAAAUUCUGAGACUACUCCGUCUCAUACUUUUGAUAUUUUGCCUGCCAUGUCUAAGUUUAUACAAAUAUGAAGAACAAUCUGACAAGACAACUAAUUAAAAAUCUAAAACACGAUAGUUGCAAAUUCAAGACAAAGAAUAAGGGCCUAUGUCCACAGGCUAAAAGAUAAAGAAUUGUUAGUACAAUUUCUCUUAAUUUAGCUAAGCUAUCUUGACGCGUGAUGAAUGAUAAGCCUGCUGGUAGAUGAAUGAAGUAUAUGCAGAGCAAAGAGCACAAUCAUUUUCUCCUUUGCUCUGAACAGAACCAAAGGUUUAUCUUCCAAGAAGUUUCUUGGCUUCUGCUUCAAAUUUUUGUUACACUUUUAGCUUUCAAAAUUUUUUGAAACUAAUCUUUCUAUAGUUACCACAUUCAUUCAUAGAUUAAAUCAUUAAACAAGCAUCAUUUUCAGAAGACCAGAAUUUACCAAAAAUAGAGUUAGCUUGGUCUUGCAAAAGUGUCUGAUCCGGAUGUGUAUCUGCAGAACUGAGACGUUCAGCCAUCCACUUUAACUCCUUCAGAAGAUCUUUCUCAGCUGAGACAGAUUCAAUUACACUAGAUAAGAGCCUACGCAUGAGCUUUAUUGCUUCUUGGUCUGAUGAUUGGAAAUGGAGUGAACCAAGUAUUUUGCACAAUGCUGAGACAUAUGCCCUCUCUGCAGGUGUCUUCUUUGCAUGGAAGCUUCCCACCUUCAAAAUGUGUAAGGAAACAAAAUUAAUGCAUUGGAAAUCUAGAAACAUUUAAGGUUAGUAACUUAACUAUCGUUAAUCAUAAGUAUUUUUCUGAAAGAUAUUCCCUGACUAUCAUAUGAAACUAUAAUUCGAAUGCCAACAGCUUCUAAAUGUCACCUGUAAAAUAGGGAUGCCAAAGAUCUUAAGUGAUUACAAAAGAUUCAGGUUUAACUACUUAUCUUCUAUACACACAGCCCACACACAAGAAAGCUUGGAAAAAGCACAACCUCCUAUAUCUUACUUUGAAAUUUAAAUUUACAGUCACCACAACUUGUACUAAUAACCUCUUAUUCAGAUAUGAACUAAUUGAAUUGGAUGACUAAUUAUCCCAAAAUUUUAAGCCCAUAGAAAAGACACUAACUUUAUAAUUUGUACUCUAACAUCAUCAUCCUUGCUAAAGAAACAAUUGAGUAUCCUCAUCUAGUGGAAGAUAUGUUAUUAGGGACAUUUUUAAAUCAGACAGGUUUCACUUCCUCCUAAAUCUUCUAACGAAAAUUUAGAUCAGCAUACCCUUCUCUUGUCUACCAGAGAAAACAACUGAUACUCAAAUUUUUGGAAUUCCAAGAUUAUGGAAGCAUAGUAAGAGAGUUGAUCCUCUUUUUCUAGAAACAAUUCAUGGCCAUAAGAAAGCAAUGCAUGACUCUAAAAUAAGUGAUACUUUGUUCUGUUUCUAAUAGGUGAUAUAGAUGCUUUGUUCACACCGACUAGAAAUCUGUUCAUGUAGAACCAAAGAAUUGAUAGCUGACUGUUUAUAGUAGUUGAACAAAAGAGGUUUUGAUGAUAGCAAUUCUGACAGAACAAAAAUUAUGUGUGCAAGCAGACAAAAAGCAAUGACAAUAAUCAAGGUAAUCAUAAACCUUCAGAACACGAAAUUUGAAAGAAACCAUUAUCGUCAAUAACACAAAUAGAAUAGUCGAAUCUUAAGGCAAGAAGCAGUACCUCAGUAGCUAUGCGUAUUGCAAGUCCCUCUUCACCACAUUCAAGUGAAUAUUGCAUACAGUUAUCUAUGGUUUCUGGCAAAUCACUGUUAUGGGCUUCGUUCUCUACCUCAGUCUCUUUUAUAUAUAAUGGAGCCUGUAUCAUCUGCAGCAUAAACUUUGAAGCUUGUACUGCACGCUUACGCAUUUUUGAGACCACAGCUGGUGAACCUCCAGGAUUGCCAUUGAUGCCAGGCCACAUAGAGCGCAUUACAUGAAGAAAAGCCCUGGAGACACACUCCUGCAUCACAAGAUUAGAAUGUCAAUGCCACAAAUAUGUAAGUCCAAAUUCAGCACAAAAAUAUUUAACUUUUUGUUUAUGCACACACAUAUAUUUUUAAGUUAUAAAACAAACCAGAGGAACAAGUGUUACCUUAUGAUUCAUUGAGAGGGAAGCAUAGUGCUCAAAGAAAACAGAUAAGCACUGUUUCAAUCUGGUUAAGAAACAUAAAAAAGAAAAUCGAGUUAGAACCACUGUUCUCAUAAUAUAUAAGAGAUUAAAGAAGGAAAAACAAAAACCAAUCAACCUUUGCAGUUCUUUCGACUCAUCACUGAAAUAAAUGGUUAUGAGCUUUGCUAAGAGCACGGGGUGACAAGAAGCUGAUAUGCUUGGGUACUUCUCACUUAGAAGAAGAAAUUUUGCAAAUCCCUCCGCAAGGAUGGCCCGAACUGACUCAUUGUCAUGACUUUCUGAUGACUCAUUCCAGUCAUUAUCCUCUAAUCCAGAGAAUAAGAGAUCAAGUAAUUUGACAUCCAGAUCUCCAUCUGCAUCAGAAAAGUUCACAGGACUAUAUUCCAAGUUAUCCUUUUCAAACUGAGACAACAGGUCCUUUCCCAUGGCCUUGUCAACCUCCUGAGGACCAUGCCACAUCCCAAGAUCAAUUAGUGCUUUGCAUGCCAUUAUACUAAUUGGGGGAGGACCUUUAGUAACAGAGAGUCUUAACUGCUUUACAAGCUCCUCACUAGGCUUGUUCUCCAGUAAACCAAAAAGACCAAGGCACCUAAUAGCAAUCCUUUGUACAUCCAAGUGAACAUGUUUUGCCUGCAUUUCAAUAUCAAAACAGUAAUGAGUUCCUUCCAGAACAGAGACUUUUAUUGAAUGUUUAAACAACCAACCAGGAAAGGUACAAAACAAAAGAAUCCUUUGCUAUUUAGUAAGCUGAAUGUACUUGAUUCACUUCAGCAUGCCAAUAUCUCAUCAGAAGUAAACUAGAAACUUCAAACAGUUGAUGCUGUUUUCAUGCUAUAAAUAAGAUAUUGGAGAAAUCUCACACCCGUAGAACUUAAUGCACAUGCCCAUAAGACAAAAGGAAAAUGUGUAAAGCAAAACAGACCAGAAAUAUGUAAUGAAUCCUUACAGCUGGAAGCAAUAAAGUAUGUAGAAUUUCAGCAGAGUCUGUAGCCUUUCCUUGGAUCCAACGAAGUGAUUUUGCACCCUCUAAAAGUAAGCCAGUUAUGGCAAGGCUGUGUAUCCACUGCAUGAAGUCUGCCGUCCUUUCCCUGCAAGGUUUAGCUAGCUCUUCAACAACUCCAAGAAGAAUUUCUUCAAAUUCGCCAGCAGCAGCGUGAACUUUACGUACUAGUACAGACACAGCACCAGCCCAAUCUUUGUCACCACCAAGGUUAAUUCCAUCUCCUAUGAUGAUGUUGUUACCAUUUUCAUCGAUUUCAUGCUCAAGGGGCAUUUGCAGCAAGUCCUGCACAAACGAACUGGCAACCUUCCUGAUUGUGACAUCAGAAAAAUCAAGCAUUGAACCAAUCAAUAAUAGUUGCCUUGACGCGAAGCGGUAAUUUGGUCCUGAAAGUAAAAUGCUUAUUAAAAGAUUUCAGAAGUAGAAUUUCAUAUUUUGUUGACAAAAUUAACUUAACCAACCAGCAUCUAUAUGGGCUUUGACCAAAGAAACAUAGUCAGAAACUGUUGCAGGCAGAAUCUGCUCCAGUAGAUCAUUGUUAUCCGAAGCUUCUGCUGCAUAUACUGCUGCUUCAGUGCCCAUCGUAGCUGCCGCAUCAGAACCUUUUUCCUACUCAAACAUUUUGUCAUUUCACGGAUACGGUUAGCUAAAUGAUGUGAUAAGAAGAAAUAAGCAUGAACAUUUUUUAGAAAUUUCUUUACUAUUGAUCUUCAUUUGGAAGGCAUACUUAGUUGCAUCUUUGCGCUGAUUUCUACAAACCCAUAAUUUUUCCCCUUUUUCACAUGCAAGCAAUAUUAAAUCUUUAAGGUAAUUGUACAAAUCAUUUUGAGGAGCUUCACAACCAAUUGUUUUGAGGAGCUUCAUGACAAAUAACUUUACAUCUUUAAGUUCAAUUUAAACUAUCAUAACUUUUGUAGUCUCACAGAUAAAGAAUAAAUUAGACAACCGGCAAAUAGUGAACUGAAAAGACAGAUCAAUCAUCUAAAAGAAAGAGAUCAUGUUCUUGACCAAUGGUGUUGAGUUAUUUAUUUCAAAGCACUGAAAUCCUUCAUUAGAAUUUAGAAAUGAAAUUAGCACAGCAAAAUCUAUAAGACACAUAUAUGGAAACCAGAGAGUAUUCAGGGUGUACUACAUUGUAAAGAACAUUCAUUACAUUAAAACUAAAAUUGUUUCAAUCUUGUAAAAUAAAAAACAAAACAUUUAUCACUUUACAGUUUAGUUACGUUUUAUAUAAAAUAAGAUAUGAAUAUUAACAAUUUUCUAUAUGGGAAAAAAUAUCUACUACAUCACGGGUUGAGUUAUUUUGCUCUUUUUUUCUUUUUACAAAAAAAAAUUACAUUAAGUGUUUUUCGAUGAUCACAGACAAUAUUAUUUUAGUAGCCUCAAAGUAACAUAAGAUAAAGCAUAAUACUGAAAAGGUAAUGCCUAAAACCAAAUUUUAAUACAUUACAAAAAUUGAUAAAUUCUUAAAAAAUGAUAAUAAUGAUAAAUUGUAUGUUUCUAAAAAAAAAAUUUACCUCAGUUUAAUUUAUGAAACAAUCAUACAAAAUAACAAUUAAAUAAAUGAAGUGUAAAGUGAAAAUAUACCCAUAAUCUGCAUUUUAGAAUGUGAAUUUUCAUGUCAUAUAACUUAUCUUAUAGAAAAAUAUCAUAGAAAGUGAUAAGAGAUAUAAUAUUAUCUUCUAUAACUAAGAAGGUAUUUCUUUAAUGCGAAUAUUCUACACUUGAUAAAUAACUAAACCAAUAAAACUAACUGUAUGUCCUCUUAUCUCCCAUUAAACAGUAGAUCAAUUCUUAAGAAAUCACUCCCGAUCCACAACUAUAGUUAACUAUACAAACAAUGGAAAUUCCUAAAACACAAGGAUGUAAGAACUUAAGAGGCUGCAUUCUCAAACAUCCAAGUAGUCAAGAAGGAAGAAGCUUGAAGAUUGGAUAGAUAAGAGCUGAAAAUAAGCAUUCACUCAAGCUGUAUUUGCAACAAAUAUAUCCUACAAAAGAAGUGGGGAAAUCCAGAGCCAGCUUUUCCAAAAAAGAAGCGCAGAAUGACUUCAUGGAAGGAGAUAAAAAGUGAACUAGAAGAACCAAUCUUUGAAAGAGAAAAAGUCCAAAGCCAGAUAUGCCACAAAAUAAGUGCAGAGUUAAUCUAGAAAUAAAAUUUCCUAUGCAUAUUAUAAAUAUAAAAAGGUCGAUUUGCAAAUGAAUUCUACUUUUUGUGGAAUUCAUUUGUUCCAAGACUAAUGUAGUUGUACUAGCAUUUCACGAAACAAUACAUAAUUACCUCAUAACAAUCUCAUCAACAUUUCUAUAGGCGUAAAAAGAAUUAACUAAUGGAUUAACAAAAGAUCAGAAACCAUUGAUGGUGUACUAACAAACCUACUUGUGCUUUCAUUUGCAAAUGCCUGCAUAGAGUCCUCCAAUAGAGAGCAACCUCUGGUUCCAUUAGCUGGAUGCUGAGCGUGCUAAGCGUAGAACUCCCUAUCAUUAUUUCGUGAAACAAUUAAGAAAUGGAAAGUAAAAACUGACCCAUGGUACCUUUUGGAUAUAAGCCAUGAUAGGGCCAGGCAUGUUGAGCUCAUAGAAAAAGUGAAAAUUCGACAUAAGCUAAAGUGAAACACCAUGGUAAAUCAGCUUGAAAUUCCCCUGAAAUUUAAUUCAGAACUACUUAUACGAGGGGAAUAAAGAGCUACAGAAAUAAGUAGCAUGACUCCAAAUAUCGAAAAAGGCUACCUAUGGGGAAAAAGUUAGUUGGAUUACUAUGGGAUUUCAGAUAAACCUCAUUCUCUUUUCCUCUCUAAUCUGGUUCUUCCUUUCUGCUGGGUGAUGAUUUUUUUACUUGUUUUUUUGUGGUUUAUUUAUGGGUUCCUUCAUUGCUGGGUUUUUUGUUGCUUUGUUUACGAGUUCAUUCUUGGUUCUUCUUGUUUUGAAUGUCUGUUUCUCUAGCUUUGGUUUGUUUGAUUAUUUCUUAAAGGAUGUUAGUACGAUAUCGACAGAAAGAAAUAUAUUUACUUCUCAAGAAAAAAAGAAGAAUGCAUAAAUUAACAAUAACCAACUCCAGGACAAACCAUAUCUGACAUAUACUAAAUCCUACCACCUCUUGAUGAAGCCAGACAGAUAAUUUUGACAUGAAACAAGGUCUAUGUAUGCAAUCUUUAAAAAAAAAAUUGAAUAGUUCCCUUUACAGUAGAAGAAAUCAGGUAAAUCGGUCAAAAGUUUACUCAUCAAGGUAACACUCAUUUUUUAACAAGAAAAACAAUCUAAACUGAAAGAUGACAUACAAAAUAACAUAAUCAUUGGACCAAAACAUGCUUCUGGAUGUCAUUAAGCUCUUUAACUUGUAUGCCAAGGUAAAUACCAACAGAUGAACUGUUGGACAAUCUCCAGCUUAGCUAAGUUACAUGUAAAGUUGGCUGGUGUUAGCUUCAAACCAUCACUGUUAACCAUACCAGUUGUUAUAGGCACUAUAAAAGGAAGUAAGAGAACUAGAAAACUGAUUAAACUGAUGGAUUAUCUUAGAGCUAGCUAAGUUACAUGUAAAGUUGGCUGCUGUUACCUUCAACCCCUACUCUCACUAUCACUGGCAUCAUAGAUACCAUAGAAGGUAAUAAGAGAGAUAAAGUUAAGGAAUAAUACAAGAAAACAAAACAUUAAGAAAUAUACAGAAAGCUCCACCGACCUCCAUUUUGAUCACAGGCUGAUGAUAUGUAUUGUUGGAUACUUCCACAUUCAUGCAAUUUUACUGAACCAGAACUUAACAAAGCCACCAUGACUGACUCUCCAACUGAUUCAUAUGUCUCAACAUCAAGAUACUUGAGAAGUUCUACAGGGUCCCCAUUGCAACUCUUAGUGAGCCACUGAUCUUUCAUUAACUUUAAACAUUCGUUUGAAACAGCUACACAACGAUCCACAAGUCCUCUUUGAAGAAUAAUUGUCCUAAGCUUGAUGCUAAAGCAAGAAAUUGAACCAAAAGUUAAGAUAAACUUCAGAUAGAUAUCAGAUGACUUGACAACUAAAAUGAAAGAUAAGCCUUGACAAUAUGAACUAUGGUAAACAAACUCAAAACGGGAGGAAAACAAACUACUAGGAAGAGAGAAAGCUCCAGAGCGAAUUUCUUAAUAUUGGAGAUCGAUCAUUGCUUAACCUCUAGCUCAAGAUUAUGAGAUAUUGCCUAAUGAUAUUUCUCUUUUUGAAUUCUCUGACUAAUAAAAACCUCAAUGAAUUACAUUGAAGAUGGCCAGCCAAUCUUCAUUAUAUAAAUUAAGCUUUGCGCUAGCGAGUAGUUAUACUUAGUGAUGUAUAUAAGUAUAAACGAGAUGGUUAUUGAUAUAAGUUAUUGAAUUACCUUAGACUCUGAAGAGGAAACUUAUUGGCCAGAACACAAUAUGCUGCUUUACGCACGUACUCGCUAACAUCUAGCGUAGCGUCAAUAAUUGCUUGCGAAGUUGAAUUUGAAGGAGGCAAUGAUAAGACAAUUGCCUUGCGAACCUCCUGUAAACAUUCCAUAUUUGGGGAUCUAAGAAGUAGCGUCUCGAGGAUUCUUAGAGUUUAAAAAAAUCAAUAGCAUUUUCUAUGACAACACUCGCAUAUUAUUUUAUGUGAUGAGAACCAUUACGAAAUGAAACCCCUAUGUCAAACCACAAUCUAGCACAAGCUCCACUUUUAUGUGCAGUUAUGUUUGUAAGAGACUCAAAACUAUAUUUUCAAGUUGAAUUAUUGAAUUUUACAACAUAAACAAUUUUACAUACAUAAGAUAAAAAGUUUUCAGGCCUUUCAUAUAAAUAAGGAGCAACUUUUCAAUAUAUUAUGUCACCUAUUUUUGUAAUUCCCUUCAAGAAAACGCCACUCCAAGCAAUCCUAUCUAUGUUUCAACAACAUUCAGUAUCACCGCUAAUGGUAAGGUUAAAUUCUUCUUUGAAGCUCCAGUUGAAACCUCUGUAUGGCAAGUCAGCCAAAAAAUUUGACUGAAUAAUUUGUUGAUUUUGUUUGAUGCAUCACAUCUAUGAAUAGCAGGUCUCAGGCAAAACAAAUCUGCAAAAUCUAGUCCACGAUCUAUUUACAAUAAUGAGGGAAGUAAAUAUCAAAAUGAAAAUUGUUCAUAUACCUUGGUCAAUAGGGAAAAGUCUGUGGAACAAAAACUUUCCAAUAUACUUCUAGGAACUUAAAAUAUAUAUAUAUAAUUACAAGUAAUCAAAUAGGAAGGAGGAGAGAGAGGGAACGGGACAUACAUACUAUUACAUCCUAGCAAUCAGAUACCAGAGUCUCACACCUUCUAUUUUCUCUUUGUACAUUAAUAUGUUUUGAUCAUAUGUACAGCAAAAGACCAUGCUUGUACAAGAGAACAAGAUUCUUGAUUAAGAAUAACUAAAUUUCAAGGAAGAUAAUAUUCCUCUCGAGAAUCAAAACCCAAUAAGAAAUUGGUUCAUUUGACAAGGUUGGAAAACUCACCGCAUUCUGUUCCAACGGUAGCACCUCCAGAAGCAAAUCAAGGACGUCCAUGUUCUCAGAAUCGUUAAGAAAGCGUGAAAGCCCCCUAACUGCAAAGGUUCGGAUUAAAGGAACCUUAUCCCCCACUCGCAACCUCAGACAUUCUAUCACAUCAUCCCAAAGUUCAUUGCUUACUUCAGUAUCAUCAGGCAACCGCAAUAUGAUCUGAAAAAAAAUAUUGUCUUCAAGAAAAAAAAAAAAAAAAAGACUGGUGCACCCAAAAGAAAUAUGGGGAUUUGCAAAGAAAAUACAAACAGGCUGGAUCAAGUAUGACAGUGGAAACACAAAGGAAGUCAUUAGGCAAAGAGGUCUAAGGUUAUGUUUCGAAUAAAUCUAGAAAUUCCAUAGGAUUUAUUGGUAAAUUGAUUCUUAGCUCAACUAGGAAACGAUGCAACUUCUAUUAGAAAUUUAAAAGAUAAUAAGACUCACAUAGAAUUUUACAUGGCUAUGGAACAAGACAUAACUAAUUUAAUUAAAAUUGAUAGAAUUUUGAAAUAUAUUGUAUCAAUUCCACGUAAAUUUCAACUUUAAUCAUUUUAGAGAGCAUUUUCAAUGUAUUUUGAUUAAAAUAAGUGUAGAUCACACAUAAAUUCGACAAAUACAAUGAUUUUGUUUCAACUAUAGCAUUAUAGAAUAUGAUCAAGAAAACUCAAUGAGGGCUGAUUGCUGUGAAUAAAUAAAUAAAAAGAAAAAUAUUCUCUAACAUCGAACAACCUCAACUGAAACUGCUGCCAGAAGAUGCGAAGGGUAAUUUUAGCUACAAAAGGAGGGAAAAGGAAGACAUAACGUCUCAGAACUUUUCCUUAAAGAUGCGAAAGCUGAAUUGAUACAAACAUUUGCAGUACCUUGCUCCCUGGUAACCCCAGGCCACAAUCAAUGUUCACUUUACUAUUCCGGUAAUUCUUUCUUCAAAUGAAACCACCAAAAAAAGCAAAAAAUGUGACAUAAUUUAAUCCAAAUAAGACAGUUAGAACGCCCAAAACCCUCUUCUCAAACAAAACUAAACACACUCAGAAGCCCAUUAUCAUCCAAUUCAAUCGAGCCCUAUAUCCCACUUCCUCUAGUUUGGAGAAAAUCUUUGCACCUAUAAAUAACACCUCGCAUAUCUUAUACAUUUCUCUCAAUUUUCUAUUAUGUUGGCAGUAACUAACUUUUAAAAGAAAACAAAAAUCCAAAUCCAAAACAGAUAUCAACAGUACCUCGGAUAUGAUCUGGCAACACCUGAACCUCGCAGUUUUAUUGGCGGCCCCGGCACCUACGAGAAGAAAUCUCAAGAAAUCCUCCAAGAACACUUCGCAAGCAGAGAUGUUCUCAGGGCCACGGAUGCCAGUGAAGACAGAGACGAAGCGGACGACGCGCUCGGCGGAGGCGGUCCGGCGCUGUACCUGGAAGAGAGGUGUUAGGGUUUUGGCAAACGCGGCGGAGAAUUGGUGAAUGGACGCUACUUUCGAUCGGAUUGCGGCGAGCUCCUUGAGUUUCCGGUUAUGCGUGGCGUACGAAGUUCGGGCCUCGUCAAAGAUUCUCGCCAUUUUCUGCAUCAGUUGACUCUCUACUGCUUCCAUCUCCGCAAUUUUCCCUCUUGAAAUCGAACUAUUUUCUCUCCUGAAGAAGAAAAUCCACCACGAACAACAGUCUCUGUAAAUUUCUCUGUGAAAUUCUCGUAUGAGAAUUGGAAGUAGCCAGUAGGAAAGUCAGAUCUGUUUGAAAUUCUCUGGCGAGGUGUUUUGAAUUUGAGCGGGAGUUGUAAAUAGUUAAAAGGAGACGGGCCCAACCGCUAGCGCCAGCACUCAAGAGAAAAAAAAAAUAUAUAUAUAUAUAUAUAUGUAAUUAUUUAUGUAACUUUACGGAAUAAAAUAAAUUGUAAAAUUAAUUUUAUAUUAAAAUUUAUUUAGAUAUUGAAUAUAAAAUAUCUUUUAAUUUAUUGUAAUUAAAAACUAAUUAAACAUAGGAAAUAUAUAUUUUUAAUAAAAAGAAUUAUUUGUAAUGUAAUGAUAUAGUCGGCAUAGUAUUUGAAAAUAGAUAUAAAAAUAAAUUAGUAAGAAAAUUACGUAAGUUAGAAGUAAAAAUAUAUAUAUUAAAUAUUUAAAUUACGUAUAGUUUAAAAUAUUAAAAAAGAAAACCCAAGGUGGUCAAUACCAAUUGUUGAUGGCUCGAGAAAUUAAAAUUAAGGCUACCGUGAUUAAUUAGAAUUAUGUUACCCGAGUAUUUUAGCUUAGUAUUCACUGUUUAGAUUAUUAGUUAACGUUAAACCUUAAGCUAAUUACUUUCAAAAUAAAUAAUUAAAAGAAAAUUAUACUAAUAAUUUUUAAAUAAACCAAUUAGUCCUCCGACCGGUCGGACCACUAAUUCACAAUCGACUAGCCGGUCCGACCCAAUUUUAAUAACAAUGUUUAAUAACAAUGAAUCGUAUAAUUGUUUAAUAGUUAGUACUCAAUUCUUCAUACACUAAAUGCAUGCAACUCAAAUAGCAUAACAUACCUUAAUAAAACUUCACCAUUCGAGUUCAAUUUCUUUUUUCAUUACCAUCCCGGUGAAAGGAAAGAAAAACUUUGCCUUUUACUUCAUUUUUUUAGUAAAAAAAAAAAAAUCGUACAUCAACUUCCGAACAAAAAUACACAGAAAAUACACAAUCUAACUCGAAUCUAUAAUCUUAUUGUGAAAUGUGAAAGUACCAACCUUCCGGGGAAGGAUGAUCCGUAGUUCUUUACACAAAUUUAAGAUGUUGAAAUUUCUCCGUUCUACAGCAAUCAAUUAUUGAAUCCUGAAUACUCAACAUUAAAUUUUUAUCAUAUCAAAAGUGUUAAACAGAAUUCUAAGGACGCUGAGAGAUUGAUCACUCAACAUUAAUCAAAGUCAGCCAGUUCAAACUCAUAAAACAUUAAAACAGUGUCAGCCAAUUCAGCUCAUAAUACAUUGAAUCUUUAAUACUCGCAUUAAAUCAUAGUCAGCCAGUUCAACUCAUAGGACAUGACGAUGUCGGACAUAACCGGGUAUCAAUUCAGCAACGAGUCAUAGAUACACAAACAACAAACCACUAACAGUAUUCUCUGGAUUAUUGUAGUUAACCUUUGCCAUUGUCUACAACUUUUCAUUUCAUAAUCAAACAAAGUUAUAUCACUUCCUAAACUCUAUUCAACAUCAAUCCAUUAAAAUCCACAAAGGCCCUCAAUAACACAAUAUUGGAAAACCCAGAAAAUCAUUAAUGACAAGUAAAAACCAUCAUGGAAGUAAUGUAGUCUCGACAAAUAGCUAACAACCUGAUUCAUGAUGAUGUCGGACUGCUGGAGAUUACACAGGACUAAGAAGCUGGUAGAUUUGGGGCUUCGGCUCAGAGUUCAUGCCAAUGAUGAUGAUGAGAGGAAUGAACCCGUAGUGAGUGAUGACUUUGGCUUUUUUCAUGGUCCAUGUGCUCCACUCCUUUACACACUGCAUAGUUGAUCUCUCCUCUGCUCCCUUUCCUCCUUUUGUUCCUUUCCCUUUGCUCUUCCCUGAAAGUUUAGAUGCCAUCUUCUGAAUUUGCUCUUCUUUUCUCUUCCUCCAAUCU
Molecule: long non-coding RNA, 30702 nt
Filed under: Carica papaya (papaya)
Lineage: Eukaryota; Viridiplantae; Streptophyta; Magnoliopsida; Brassicales; Caricaceae
Description: long non-coding RNA (CPAP_LNC006312)
Source: RNAcentral